This 487-nucleotide ribosomal RNA is filed under the name uncultured bacterium. RNAcentral's name for it is "partial 16S ribosomal RNA". It matches the Rfam family "Bacterial small subunit ribosomal RNA", at positions 28 to 523 of the family's 1533-position model. The record is from RNAcentral.
GAUGAACGCUGGCGGCGUGCUUAACACAUGCAAGUCGAACGAAGCAUUUUUAAUUCUUCGGAAGAGAAAGUGACUGAGUGGCGGACGGGUGAGUAACGCGUGGGUAACCUGCCUUAUACAGGGGGAUAACAGUUAGAAAUGACUGCUAAUACCGCAUAAGCCGAUAGAGUCGCAUGACUUAGUCGGAAAAGACUUAUCGGUAUAAGAUGGACCCGCGUCUGAUUAGCUAGUUGGUGAGGUAAUGGCCCACCAAGGCGACGAUCAGUAGCCGGCUUGAGAGAGGGAACGGCCACAUUGGGACUGAGACACGGCCCAAACUCCUACGGGAGGCAGCAGUGGGGAAUAUUGCACAAUGGGGGAAACCCUGAUGCAGCAACGCCGCGUGAAGGAAGAAGUAUUUCGGUAUGUAAACUUCUAUCAGCAGGGAAGAAAAUGACGGUACCUGACUAAGAAGCCCCGGCUAACUACGUGCCAGCCGCCGCAGUAA